Molecule: ribosomal RNA, 301 nt
Filed under: uncultured bacterium
Lineage: Bacteria
Description: partial 16S ribosomal RNA
Rfam family: Bacterial small subunit ribosomal RNA
Source: RNAcentral
CAGUCGCCACGGUAAUACGAGGGGGGGCAAACGUUGUUCGGAUUUAUUGGGCGUAAAGGGUGCGUAGGCGGUUUGGCAAGUCUUGUGUGAAAUCUAUGGGCUCAACCCAUAGUCUGCACAGGAAACUGUCGGGCUUGAGUAUGGGAGAGGUGAGUGGAAUUCCGAGUGUAGAGGUGAAAUUCGUAGAUAUUCGGAAGAACACCAGUGGCGAAGGCGGCUCACUGGACGACUGUUGACGCUGAGGUGCGAAAGCGUGGGGAGCAAACAGGAUUAGAUACCCCGGUAGUCCCUGUCUCUUAUA